RNA transcript from Enhydra lutris kenyoni (northern sea otter), 4391 nucleotides. It is a transcript of the gene named serine and arginine rich splicing factor 6, with no coding region annotated. The transcript is spliced from 6 exons. The record is from RefSeq and is a predicted model, not a curated record. Lineage: Eukaryota; Metazoa; Chordata; Mammalia; Carnivora; Mustelidae.
CACCAUUGUGUGGCUGGACUCGGCCGCCGCUGCGGUGUGAGGCGCGUGUACAGGCUCUCGCUGUCCCCGCACCCGCACCGCGGCUUUUGCCUUGCGGUCCGUUGUUCGAUAGCCAGCCUUCGGGGCCCCUGCCCGCCACGGACAUGCCGCGCGUCUACAUAGGACGCCUUAGCUACAACGUCCGGGAGAAGGACAUCCAGCGCUUUUUCAGUGGCUAUGGCCGCCUCCUCGAAAUAGACCUCAAAAAUGGGUACGGCUUCGUGGAGUUCGAGGACUCCCGCGACGCCGACGACGCCGUUUACGAGCUGAACGGCAAAGAGCUCUGCGGCGAGCGCGUGAUCGUGGAGCACGCUCGGGGCCCGCGCCGCGAUCGCGACGGCUACAGCUACGGAAGCCGCAUGACCAAUGGGGCUGAGGCUGUGUCCACUGAGGCUAAGAUGACUGCCUUUCCUGAUUGGCCUUGGCUUUUCCAUACAUUGUGUGACCCUUGCCCUAUGACCCUUUGGCUGACCUUACCGGAAGCCAUGACGACAGCAGCCUUUUGCCAUUAGACGCAGGGUGAUGGUGAGGAUUCCAAGGGUUAGACAAAACUGGUUAAUCUGAACUAGGUGACUGUUACCUUGCGUGUUUUGUGGCCAAACCACCACCAAAAACCUCACACUGUGAUGUAAGUACUUAGUGUAACUAGUAAACAUUUUUGUAAAAUGUAGAAAUGCAUGUAAUCAGUUAAGUUUUAUAUUUUACAAUGUUCUGUAAAAUAAAACUUAGCGAGGUAAAUUGAAUAAAGGAGCAGUCACUCUCUAACAGAUUGUAGGAGAAGUUUAGUUGGAUUUAGUCUAUUUGACUUGCCCUUAAUUUAAUUUAUGGCAAAUCACAACUGUAUCGAAGGUUUAGCAAUAUAAUAGCAAAGUCCUACUCCAGUAUAUAAAAGUUGAUAUGUUUGUACUAACUUUCAAGAAAACAUGCAUUCCUAUCAUUACAAAGCAUCUAAUUAUUCUCUUCAUGUGAUAAAGGUGGUGGAGGUGGAUACAGCAGUCGGAGAACCUCUGGCAGAGACAAAUACGGACCACCUGUUCGUACAGAAUUCAGGCUUAUUGUAGAAAACCUUUCUAGUCGUUGCAGUUGGCAAGAUUUAAAGGAUUUCAUGAGACAAGCAGGUGAAGUAACCUAUGCGGAUGCUCACAAAGAACGCACAAAUGAAGGCGUGAUUGAGUUCCGUUCCUACUCUGACAUGAAGCGUGCUCUGGAUAAACUGGAUGGUACAGAAAUAAAUGGCAGGAAUAUUAGGCUCAUUGAGGAUAAACCACGAACAAGCCAUAGGCGAUCUUACUCUGGAAGCAGAUCAAGGUCACGGUCUAGAAGAAGGUCACGAAGUAGGAGUCGCAGGAGCAGCCGCAGUAGAUCUCGAAGUAUCUCAAAAAGCCGCUCCCGAUCCAGGUCUCGGAGCAAAGGUCGAUCACGUUCUCGAUCAAAAGGCAGGAAAUCUAGAUCAAAAAGCAAAUCAAAGCCCAAGUCUGAUCGGGGCUCCCGUUCGCGCUCUCGAAGCAGAUCUAAGGAGUAUGAGAAAUCUCGAAGCAGGUCUCGUUCUCGAUCUCGUUCCCCCAAAGAAAAUGGAAAAGGUGAUAUAAAGUCAAAAUCUAGAUCAAGAAGCCAGUCUCGUUCAAAUUCACCCCUACCUGCCCCACCCUCAAAGGCACGGUCCGUGUCCCCUCCACCAAAAAGAGCCUCAAGAUCCCGCUCUAGAUCUCAUUCAAAGUCAAGAUCACGAUCCAGAUCGAGUUCCAGAGAUUAACCUAGAACUCUGUAUUCUUUGCACACUAUUAUGGAACACUUUCCUACUUGCUUAGGCAGUUCCUCUUCCAUGUUUGUACUUGGCCUCUUCUGCAAGAGGAAUCUCCUGAAAAUGGGGCACACAGAAAUUUAAUUUGUGGCCAAAUUUGAUGAAAAAAAAAAAUGAGGUUCUAAAGAAAUGGUGGCAUGAAGUCAAAGACCCUCUCCCUUCUUUGUAGAAUUAAGAUAACUUUGAUUUUAUAGCUUUUGAGCUAAAAUAACUUUUGUAAAGAUUAAGCUCAUUUAGAUUUUUUUUUUAAGUAUUUCAGCAGGAUCUGCUGCAGGGAUUUUGUUGUUUUGUUUGCUUUUAAAUUAACCGUUUCAAGCUUUGAAUACCUAAGGCUUUAGAGGGAGAUCCCGAUUUUCAAUUAUGUUGGCUUUUUAUAAAGCUUGAGUUAUGUAAGAUUUCAAUAAAAAUUUGCUACCAAGUUGAUUGCCUUACUGAAUAGGUCACUUAAAUUCCUUUAAAUAUUGAUAAUUUGUUCUUUGUGAAACUGUAAAUUACAUAAGUGUAAAAGAAGGCAAGUCUCAGACCAGCAAUAAAUUAUUCCAUUUGGAUAACAUUUGUGCUGUUAAUCAAAUUUGCCAAAGUCUAUCUGCCCCUUUGAGUUAAGUUAAAAAUAAAAGGUAUUUUGUAGUCCGUUACAUGAUUUUGCCUAAAUUAGUAGGUUUUAAAUAAUGAAACUUUUUAAACUUAAGUUUGCUCAAACUCUUGGAAGAAGUAGUUCUUAACACUUGGGAUCCCAUUUAGCCUAGUAAUUCUACUUUCUGGAAGUGGUCAGUGUAAUUAGUGUUUUGUUAGAGUAUGGUUCUGUGGUCUUCAAUGUUUGUUAUAUAAAAAUGGAAGUAGCCUUUCUUUGAUUGGAAAUUUAGUUUAUUCUUGUUCAAAGUGGGAAAGCAAAUACUGCAUUUUCUGCUGGAAGAUCAUUACAUUUAACAGGCACUUAACAGGUUGCUUGGUAAAAUCAGUUGCUUAUUAAAGUAAAAUUCUACCCAACAGUCAGUCCUCCUUGUAGUUGAUGAGGUUAUGUAAUAAUGGGUUAGAUCAUCCCUGUAACUUUACGACAUAUGGUUGGCUUGAAAAGGAUUUGCGUAGAUAAACCCUAACCUUUCUGUACUUUAUUAUGAAGUGUAAUAUGCUAUGGAAGCCAAAUUAUACUGCAAAUUUGUAGGAGGUACUGGGUAACCAGUUAGUCCCUGUAUCUGUAGACCUAAUUAGUUGAAAUUGCAGUUUGAGAAAUGAAUUACCUUAGAUCUUUUUGUUCAGGUACUUUUCAAUGAAAUUAAAGCACUCAUUAACCUUGGUUUGGAACUGAGAUGUAGGUUAUUUGACUCAGCUUUUGUAUCUUCUAGGAACUGUCACUGUAGGAUCAAGGGCUGGGUUGUACUAUAUGAUAGGGCAUGAUGGUAUGGUGCUCAUCGUGCCGCAGGUAUGACUAGAAAGCAUGAUAAUCUAGAGUUGGUUUAUAGGUUCAAAUAAUCCAGAAGGCAUACCUGAUAAAAUGAGGCUACUUUAAAAAAAAGGAGUCAAAGAUUUUAGGCAUCAGAAUCAGAGUAGCAGGGAGUACUUGAUAAUGAGUAAAAAGACUUGUUUUUGAGAAAUUUCUGGGCUUCCUUUUACAAAAUCUUAGAGCCUACUCUUAGGAAUAUAGUGCCCCAAAAGAUUAAUGCUUCUUCCAUAACCUUAUUUUCUUUACUUUCAUACUUCCUAAAAUUUAGAUAUUCAUAUGAAAUGGGUUUUUUUUUCCAGUAUAAACUUCAGGAUUUCAGAGAAGACACUGGUGUCUACAGUCGUAGUUCAUUAUUUUGCCUACUUGAAAGAACAGAAAUUACAAACAACUCUUACAUGAAGAGGCACAUCUCCAGCUGCCUUUCAAAAUUUGGUUUAAGAAUUGGCUUUGACCAAAGGUCUCUUGUUUUCAGGGAAAAAACAAAAGCUUUUAAAACCACAGCCUUUUAAAAAGGAAGGGGGGGAAAUAGCACAAUGUGAAAUUUGACUUUGUAAAGUCAUCCUUCAACUGGGCUUUCUUGUAUUAGUGUAACAUCACAUGGUAAUAGGUUUUGUGUACAUUGUUAGCUGCCCCCAAAGUGGGUAAUUGGAAGGUAAAUGCCUAUACCCAUAAGUUUUCUGGUAACAGUAAAGACCAACUUAGUGAAAACCUAGUCCUAGUCCAUACCUGUGGACCUGUACAUCAUUGGAUAUGCUAAAGCCCUAGAACACUGACCCACUUAAGAGCAGAGUUCACUGAAAUGUUUAGUUCUUGCUGACUUAUAAGUAGAAUCUGAGCGUCUGCAAUAUGCCAUGUGUACAUCUGUGGCUGGAUAGAGUAUUAAACAGAGAGCAAAAACAGAAAUGAGCAACAUGAGGAUUCCCCUUUCUUUUACCUGAUAAUGUUGUUUGAUACGCCAUAGUGCCUUUAAGGCCAGUUUGAGUCCUACCAGUUCCUGUGAUGACGUUCCAGUCCUGUGUUGUUACUACCUUCAUCUUGGUAUUUUCUUUUUCCCACUUUGUUAACCCACUUUAUGCUUUAUCUCCUCAAUAAAAUGCUUACUGAGGGAAA